AUUACACAUGCAAGACUCCCCGCGCCAGUGAGAAUGCCCUUAACAUCAGCCCAGAUCAAGAGGAGCAGGCAUUAAGCACACCAACUGGUAGCUCACAACGCCUUGCUUACCCACGCCCCCAAGGGACACAGCAGUGAUAAGAAUUCAGCAAUGAACGUAAGUUCGACUGAGCUAUGCUACUCUAGGGUUGGUAAAUUUCGUGCCAGCCACCGCGGUCAUACGAUUAACCCAAACUAAUAAAACUCCGGCGUAAAGCGUGAUUAGAAGCAAACAAAAAAUAAAAUCAAAUAGCGUCUGAACUGUAAAAAGUACAAGCCGCGAACAAAAAUAGUCAACGAAAGUGAUCUUACAAUUUUCGAACUCACGAUAGCUAAGACCCAAACUGGGAUUAGAUACCCCACUAUGCCUAGCCCUAAACUUCAAUAAUUUCAUAACAAAAUUACUCGCCAGAGAACUACAAGCCAGGGCUUGAAACUCAAAGGACUUGGCGGUGCUUCACACCCACCUAGAGGAGCCUGUUCUAUAACCGACAAUCCCCGAUAAACCCCACCACUCUUUGCCAACUCAGCCUAUAUACCGCCAUCUCCAGCAAACCCUAAAAAGGAAUAAAAGUGAGCUCAAUUACCCCAUAAAAACGUUAGGUCAAGGUGUAGCCCAUAGAGUGGAAAGUAAUGGGCUACAUUUUCUACCCUAGAAUAUACGGAAGCCCCUAUGAAAGCUAGGGGCCGAAGGAGGAUUU
Molecule: ribosomal RNA, 739 nt
Filed under: Pronolagus randensis (Jameson's red rock rabbit)
Lineage: Eukaryota; Metazoa; Chordata; Mammalia; Lagomorpha; Leporidae
Description: partial 12S ribosomal RNA
Rfam family: Bacterial small subunit ribosomal RNA
Source: RNAcentral